Molecule: ribosomal RNA, 406 nt
Filed under: uncultured bacterium
Lineage: Bacteria
Description: partial 16S ribosomal RNA
Rfam family: Bacterial small subunit ribosomal RNA
Source: RNAcentral
AUUGAACGCUGGCGGCAGGCCUAACACAUGCAAGUCGAACGAGUGGCGGACGGGUGCGUACUGUCUGGGAAACUGCCUGAUGCCGGGGGAUAACUACUGGAAACGGUAUCUAAUACCGCACACCAUCCGCUUUGCCCAGAUGGGAUUAGCUAGUAGGUGAGGUAACGGCCCACCUAGGCGACUAUCCCUAGCUGGUCUGAGAGGAUGACCGGCCACACUGGAACUGAGACACGGUCCAGACUCCUACGGGAGGCAGCAGUAGGGAAUAUUGCACAAUGGGCGAAAGCCUGAUGCAGCAAUGCCGCGUGUGUGAAGAAGGCCUUCGGGUUGUAAAGUUCUGUCGGCGGAGAGGCGUUACCCAAAGAGAAAGCACCGGCUAACUCCGUGCCAGCAGCCGCGGUAAUUC